Takifugu rubripes (torafugu) is the source of this 45-nucleotide non-coding RNA. Lineage: Eukaryota; Metazoa; Chordata; Actinopteri; Tetraodontiformes; Tetraodontidae. The record is from Rfam.
CAAACGGCUCUUUUCAGAGCCACCCACAACGUGAUAAAGAGCAGU